RNAcentral lists this ribosomal RNA (500 nucleotides) under uncultured bacterium. RNAcentral describes it as "partial 16S ribosomal RNA". It matches the Rfam family "Bacterial small subunit ribosomal RNA", at positions 30 to 523 of the family's 1533-position model. The record is from RNAcentral.
AUUGAACGCUGGCGGCAUGCCUUACACAUGCAAGUCGAACGGCAGCACGGGAGCAAUCCUGGUGGCGAGUGGCGAACGGGUGAGUAAAGUAUCGGAACGUGCCCAGUCGUGGGGGAUAACGUAGCGAAAGUUACGCUAAUACCGCAUACGAUCUAUGGAUGAAAGCGGGGGAUCGCAAGACCUCGCGCGAUUGGAGCGGCCGAUAUCAGAUUAGGUAGUUGGUAGGGUAAAGGCUCACCAAGCCGACGAUCUGUAGCUGGUCUGAGAGGACGACCAGCCACACUGGGACUGAGACACGGCCCAGACUCCUACGGGAGGCAGCAGUGGGGAAUUUUGGACAAUGGGCGAAAGCCUUAUCCAGCCAUGCCGCGUGCAGGAUGAAGGCCUUCUGGUUGUAAACUGCUUUUGUACGGAACGAAAAGGUUUGGGCUAAUAAGCUGAGCUCAUGACGGUACCGUAAGAAUAAGCACCGGCUAACUACGUGCCAGCAGCCGCAGUAA